Molecule: long non-coding RNA, 566 nt
Filed under: Ananas comosus (pineapple)
Lineage: Eukaryota; Viridiplantae; Streptophyta; Magnoliopsida; Poales; Bromeliaceae
Description: long non-coding RNA (ACOM_LNC041503)
Source: RNAcentral
CUCAUUAUUCGUAGAUGAUGGUGUAUAUAUAUAUAUAGAACUAGGCUGGAAUACUAUCAAUAGCACUAAGUUAUUGGUGCUAUUAGUUUUUUAACCAUUGGAUUAAGAAAUGCGCGGUUAUGAUGAUAUAGGCUCCCCUAGGAUUGAAUGGGUAGUUGGUUGAAUAGUAUAAUCUAACGGGUAAAAAUAAUCAUAGUAGUUAAUCUAACGGUAGAAAACUUACUAGCACCAAGUAUUUGGUGCUAUCAUAGCAUAGCAGCCGGACUCAUAUAUAUAUAUAUAUAUAUAUAUAUAUAUAUAUAUAAUUAUGCUGGAAUACUAUUAAUAGUAAAACGCUCUUUUUGCAAUCAAGUUUUUAACCCUUGGAUGAAAAAUUGUAGGGUCGGGAUGAUAUUAAUCGGUUAGAGUUGAGUGGUCCCCCUAGAGUUGAGUGGUCCCCACUCGGUUAUAGUAUUUAAUCCAAUUGUUAAAAAUAAUGAAAAGAGUUGAUCCAAAGAUUAAAAAACUGGUAGCAAUAAUAAAAUUUUGCUACUAAUAAUAGCCCAGUCCAACUCUAUAUAUAUAUA